AAAUCAAACUAAAAUAGUGUUUUGCAGUUGGAUUGAAGAUGACCUUAGUGAGAUAUGAAUUUAGGUAGAAUUGAUUGAUUUGACGAAUUAAGAGAUUUGUUAAAAUUUAUAAAAAGUUCUAAUGAGUCUUUCUUAUUUAAAAAGUUUAUGAAACUAUUCUACUACAAUGAUUUUAAGAAUUUUGAGUAUAUAUGCAAUAUUUUGAAAGU
This 209-nucleotide long non-coding RNA is filed under the name Brassica napus (rape). Its description in RNAcentral is "long non-coding RNA (BNAP_LNC012506)". The record is from RNAcentral. Lineage: Eukaryota; Viridiplantae; Streptophyta; Magnoliopsida; Brassicales; Brassicaceae.